UUAAAGUACUUAACUGGAACUAAGGAUGUGAUCAUAUUCAUGGUGGGUCUAAAUUAAAACUAGAGGGCUUAACAGACUCAAGUUUUUCAGACAGACCAAGACGACAGAAAAUCCAUUUUAAGGUAAAAGGUUACCUUGAACAAUGGUGCAGUGAAUUGGAAAGGUUCUAAACAUCAAAGAGUUGCUGGUUUUGUGAUAAAGACAAAGUAUAUAGCUAUAAAUGAAGCUGCAAGUUGAUUGUUU
This 243-nucleotide long non-coding RNA is filed under the name Panax ginseng (ginseng). Its description in RNAcentral is "long non-coding RNA (PGIN_LNC007036)". The record is from RNAcentral. Lineage: Eukaryota; Viridiplantae; Streptophyta; Magnoliopsida; Apiales; Araliaceae.